Nannospalax galili (Upper Galilee mountains blind mole rat) is the source of this 624-nucleotide long non-coding RNA. RefSeq lists it as uncharacterized. The record is from RefSeq and is a predicted model, not a curated record. The transcript has 3 exons. NCBI's taxonomy places the organism in Eukaryota, Metazoa, Chordata, Mammalia, Rodentia, Spalacidae.
GCGGAGGAGAAGAUGGUAGCGAUCACCUCAUCCGGGAAGAGGGUGACAUUCCGCUGGAUCUGCAGCAGGUUGAGCACCAGGGCCAGGACCACGCCGACGGAGAAGAGCACCAGGCUCCGCUGCACCAGAAUCCAGCAACAUUUCAAUCCAGUGGAUAAGUGCUGUGCUGGUGGCCAAACCGAGGAGGCUGGCUCUUCUGACAGGUGGGCUGACGGAGCAGAGGUCACAGUCCAUCAUCAAGGGACGCCAAAGCAGAAACCUGGGAACAGGCGCUGAAGCGGUGCCAUGAAGGAACGCCUGCCCCCCCUCUGGCUUGCUCAACUACACAGCCCACGCCCAGCUGCCUAGGGAUGGUACUGCCCACAUUGGGCCCUCCUACGUCAGUUAACAGUCAAGAAGGCCACAGUUCAGUCUGAUGGAAGGAAUUCCUCGGUUGAGGUGCCCUCUUCCCCGAUGUGUCAAGUUGACAACCAAGAUUACCAUCACACCCACCACCAACGCCUCCACAUGCAUGUGCACAGUUACAUGUGAAUCCUUACAUGUGCAUCCUCAAUCACACACGUGGCCACACACAUAAGCACAUGCGUACCACACAUAAACAAGCAAAAAAAAAAAAAAAACUUU